UACGUAGGCAGCAAGCGUUGUUCGGAGUUACUGGGCGUAAAGGGUGUGUAGGCGGUUGUUUAAGUUUGGCGUGAAAUCUCCCGGCUCAACUGGGAGGGUGCGCCGAAUACUGAAUGACUCGAGUGCGGGAGAGGAAAGUGGAAUUCCUGGUGUAGCGGUGAAAUGCGUAGAUAUCAGGAGGAACACCGGUGGUGUAGACGGCUUUCUGGACCGUAACUGACGCUGAGACACGAAAGCGUGGGUAGCAAACAGG
RNAcentral lists this ribosomal RNA (253 nucleotides) under uncultured bacterium. Its description in RNAcentral is "partial 16S ribosomal RNA". It matches the Rfam family "Bacterial small subunit ribosomal RNA", at positions 524 to 776 of the family's 1533-position model. The record is from RNAcentral.